RNAcentral lists this ribosomal RNA (106 nucleotides) under Patescibacteria group bacterium. The record is from RNAcentral.
UUUGGUGGUUAAACGCCAAGGUCACACCUCUUCCCAUUUCGAACAGAGAAGUUAAGCUUGGUAGUGGCGAUGAUACUCUUUAGGGGAAAGUAGCUAGCCGCCAGAA